RNAcentral lists this long non-coding RNA (544 nucleotides) under Brassica napus (rape). RNAcentral's name for it is "long non-coding RNA (BNAP_LNC009763)". Lineage: Eukaryota; Viridiplantae; Streptophyta; Magnoliopsida; Brassicales; Brassicaceae. The record is from RNAcentral.
GGUGGAGGUGGCGGUGGCGGACAUGGCGUCUCUGGGGUUGGAGUUGGCGGUGGUGGCGGGGUUACGACUGGUGGGGUUGGAGUUGGCGGUGGAGGAGAAGGCGUAGGGGAUGGAGUGUAUGGAGGUGGUGGCUUGAUGGUGGGCGGUUUUGGAGUGUAAGGUGGAGGGGAUGGAGUGUAUGGAGGUGGUGGCUUGACGGUGGGCGGUUUUGGAGUGUAAGGUGGAGGGGAUGGAGUGUACGGAGGUGGUGGCUUGACGGUGGGUGGUUUUGGAGUGUAAGGUGGAGGGCAUGGAGUGUACGGAGUUGGAGGCUUGACGGUGGGCGGCUUUGGGGUGUGAUGAGGUGGCUUGUCGGUGGGUGGUUUGGGAGUGUGAUGAGGUGGUUUAACGGUGGGUGGUUUUGGGGUAUGAUGAGGUGGUUUUGGGAUAUGAUGAGGUGGUUUAACGGUGGGUGGUUUUGGAGUGUGAUGAGGUGGUUUAACGGUGGGUGGUUUUGGAGUGUGAUGAGGUGGUUUGACGGUGGGUGGUUUUGGAGUGUGAUGAG